UGGUGGGNNNNNNNNGUUUAAUUCGAUGCAACGCGAAGAACCUUACCAAGGCUUGACAUAUACGAGAACGGGCCAGAAAUGGUCAACUCUUUGGACACUCGUAAACAGGUGGUGCAUGGUUGUCGUCAGCUCGUGUCGUGAGAUGUUGGGUUAAGUCCCGCAACGAGCGCAACCCUCGUUCUAUGUUGCCAGCACGUAAUGGUGGGAACUCAUGGGAUACUGCCGGGGUCAACUCGGAGGAAGGUGGGGAUGACGUCAAAUCAUCAUGCCCCUUAUGUCUUGGGCUUCACGCAUGCUACAAUGGCCGGUACAAAGGGCUGCAAUACCGCGAGGUGGAGCGAAUCCCAAAAAGCCGGUCCCAGUUCGGAUUGAGGUCUGCAACUCGNCCUCANGAAGUCGGAGUCGC
Molecule: ribosomal RNA, 406 nt
Filed under: Microbacterium sp. AZTITEMP104
Lineage: Bacteria; Bacillati; Actinomycetota; Actinomycetes; Micrococcales; Microbacteriaceae
Description: partial 16S ribosomal RNA
Rfam family: Bacterial small subunit ribosomal RNA
Source: RNAcentral